CAACUCUCCUCGAUAACGCGUGGACCGCCUCUUCCACUGGAGCUCCUCUUCCACAGAACACCUAGACUACAAAAGAUGAACACACAAGAUUCUCACUGCCGUUAGCCUUUAGCCUUUUCCCGAACGCCUCUCCUAUGAUUGGUUUUCUCUACACGGCCCGGGAUGUUAGUAUGCUGCGCUCUCUCCCACGUCACUAGUUUCAUAAAUAGAUUUUCCUAACGUCAUGCCAGAUCAUUGUAAUUGGUUCCCGUCGCUUCUGUUGAAUUCCUGAUAGGCUAGGAAGUUUGUUCCUCGAGGUAAUAUUGUGGUGACCCUAUCCUACCUGUUUGCUUGUCCUAACCUUAGCAGCACCUACAUUAUUACCUCGACAUUCCCCUCCCACGGAUUCUGCCCUCGUUGGCAGCAUUGAAGGAACGUAGCCAUGAUAUAGCAGCUACCUGUCCAUCGUCCAGAGAGAGAGUCAG
Molecule: long non-coding RNA, 464 nt
Organism: Bolinopsis microptera
Lineage: Eukaryota; Metazoa; Ctenophora; Tentaculata; Lobata; Bolinopsidae
Exons: 4
Source: RefSeq, a predicted model, not a curated record